Molecule: ribosomal RNA, 440 nt
Filed under: Salmonella enterica subsp. enterica serovar Lubbock
Lineage: Bacteria; Pseudomonadati; Pseudomonadota; Gammaproteobacteria; Enterobacterales; Enterobacteriaceae
Description: bacterial SSU rRNA
Rfam family: Bacterial small subunit ribosomal RNA
Source: RNAcentral
CCUACGGGUGGCAGCAGUGGGGGAUAUUGCACAAUGGGGGAAACCCUGAUGCAGCGACGCCGCGUGAGUGAAGAAGUAUUUCGGUAUGUAAAGCUCUAUCAGCAGGAAAGAUAAUGACGGUACCUGACUAAGAAGCACCGGCUAAAUACGUGCCAGCAGCCGCGGUAAUACGUAUGGUGCAAGCGUUAUCCGGAUUUACUGGGUGUAAAGGGAGCGCAGACGGCAUGGCAAGCCAGAUGUGAAAGGUGGGGGCUCAACCCCCAAGCUGCAUUUGGAACUGUCAAGCUAGAGUAUCGGAGAGGUAAGUGGAAUUCCUAGUGUAGCGGUGAAAUGCGUAGAUAUUAGGAGGAACACCAGUGGCGAAGGCGGCUUACUGGACGAUAACUGACGUUGAGGCUCGAAAGCGUGGGGAGCAAACAGGAUUAGAUACCCGAGUAGUC